GAAAUUUUACAGUGCAUAUUUUCAAGUAUAGCAGAUUAGACGUAAAAGAUCAAUGAUUUAUAUUGAGAAUUUUUUGAAAAAACUAAAGGAAAAUCUGCUGUUAGGAAGUGUCAAAGAUGUCAUAAAAAUUUCAUAGAAAUUUGGAUAGAAAAAGCACAGUAGCAAGAUCAAACAGAUGGUACUAUGCGGUUGGAAUUCUACAAUAUAUCUUUCGUCGUAGAGAUGAAAACUUUGUGACGAAAGG
This 244-nucleotide long non-coding RNA is filed under the name Musa acuminata (dwarf banana). RNAcentral describes it as "long non-coding RNA (MACU_LNC008820)". Lineage: Eukaryota; Viridiplantae; Streptophyta; Magnoliopsida; Zingiberales; Musaceae. The record is from RNAcentral.